UGGGGAAUAUUGGACAAUGGGCGCAAGCCUGAUCCAGCCAUGCCGCGUGGGUGAUGAAGGCCCUAGGGUUGUAAAGCCCUUUCGGCGGGGAAGAUAAUGACGGUACCCGCAGAAGAAGCCCCGGCUAACUUCGUGCCAGCAGCCGCGGUAAUACGAAGGGGGCUAGCGUUGCUCGGAAUCACUGGGCGUAAAGCGCACGUAGGCGGCUUGUUAAGUCAGGGGUGAAAUCCUGGAGCUCAACUCCAGAACUGCCUUUGAUACUGGCAAGCUUGAGUUCGGGAGAGGUGAGUGGAACUGCGAGUGUAGAGGUGAAAUUCGUAGAUAUUCGCAAGAACACCAGUGGCGAAGGCGGCUCACUGGCCCGAUACUGACGCUGAGGUGCGAAAGCGUGGGGAGCAAACA
RNAcentral lists this ribosomal RNA (402 nucleotides) under uncultured prokaryote. RNAcentral's name for it is "bacterial SSU rRNA". It matches the Rfam family "Bacterial small subunit ribosomal RNA", at positions 355 to 774 of the family's 1533-position model. The record is from RNAcentral.